CAGUCGCCGCGGUAAUACAGAGGGUGCAAGCGUUAAUCGGAAUUACUGGGCGCAAAGCGCGCGUAGGUGGUUUGUUAAGUUGGAUGUGAAAUCCCCGGGCUCAACCUGGGAACUGCAUCCAAAACUGGCAAGCUAGAGUAUGGUAGAGGGUGGUGGAAUUUCCUGUGUAGCGGUGAAAUGCGUAGAUAUAGGAAGGAACACCAGUGGCGAAGGCGACCACCUGGACUGAUACUGACACUGAGGUGCGAAAGCGUGGGGAGCAAACAGGAUUAGAUACCCCGGUAGUCCCUGUCUCUUAUAC
Molecule: ribosomal RNA, 301 nt
Filed under: uncultured bacterium
Lineage: Bacteria
Description: partial 16S ribosomal RNA
Rfam family: Bacterial small subunit ribosomal RNA
Source: RNAcentral